GGAGCGUUCUGUAAGCCUGCGAAGGUGUGCUGUGAGGCAUGCUGGAGGUAUCAGAAGUGCGAAUGCUGACAUAAGUAACGAUAAAGCGGGUGAAAAGCCCGCUCGCCGGAAGACCAAGGGUUCCUGUCCAACGUUAAUCGGGGCAGGGUGAGUCGACCCCUAAGGCGAGGCCGAAAGGCGUAGUCGAUGGGAAACAGGUUAAUAUUCCUGUACUUGGUGUUACUGCGAAGGGGGGACGGAGAAGGCUAUGUUGGCCGGGCGACGGUUGUCCCGGUUUAAGCGUGUAGGCUGGUUUUCCAGGCAAAUCCGGAAAAUCAAGGCUGAGGCGUGAUGACGAGGCACUACGGUGCUGAAGCAACAAAUGCCCUGCUUCCAGGAAAAGCCUCUAAGCAUCAGGUAACAUCAAAUCGUACCCCAAACCGACACAGGUGGUCAGGUAGAGAAUACCAAGGCGCUUGAGAGAACUCGGGUGAAGGAACUAGGCAAAAUGGUGCCGUAACUUCGGGAGAAGGCACGCUGAUAUGUAGGUGAAGUCCCUUGCGGAU
This 545-nucleotide ribosomal RNA is filed under the name Shigella sonnei. RNAcentral describes it as "partial 23S ribosomal RNA". It matches the Rfam family "Bacterial large subunit ribosomal RNA", at positions 1233 to 1778 of the family's 2925-position model. The record is from RNAcentral. Lineage: Bacteria; Pseudomonadati; Pseudomonadota; Gammaproteobacteria; Enterobacterales; Enterobacteriaceae.